GGUGGGCAGAAAGCCCUGCUGGGUUGCCAUCACUGUGCCCACUUCCCAAGGAUAAGAUGGAGGUCGGACAAGUACACUGACUUAUCCCAGGCCCAGCACUGGCACCAGAACUUGGGUCCCCCUGGCCCAGGUCGUGCUCCUUCCCGACACCACCCUGCAGCUGACCAGAGAAGUGUGCAGCCCUGAGGAGGAGCCAAUGAGCAGAAACGGGGUGCAGUCAGGGAGCCCAGGUGACACAAGAGGCCAGAAUCAGGGACCUUUGGGGAAGAAGUACCAGCUCCGGCUUCCCAGGUGCUGAAGGUCCACAUGACCAUCGGAAGGGACACGCCAGGCCUGUGCCACGCAGUGCUUUGAGGGCCCGUGAGUUUAUCCGGGCUUGGAGCAGGGGCGCAUAAUCCUCUAGUAAAGAGGGAGGGCUCUUCCUCACAUGCCUGAAAUCUGCUGCAGAAAGAUGCACGGAGCAAGAAUCUGUUCACACACCACCGUGAACCAUCUCUUCCUCCUGGCCAAACUUUCAGCGUGGCAGUACUUGGCAUUCCCAAAGAAAAACCAGAUAAAACAGAUUCUCUCCUAACUGAUGACAGCAUGGCCACUAUUACAAAGGCCACCUCAGUUCCUCCAGACCAGAGCAGGGAGCAGCAAGAGCCCCAACUGCCAAAAUGAGAUGCCUCCGGCCAUGGGGCAGACAUAGGAGGUGGAGCCAUGGACAAGAGGAACACUGGGACACACCUCCACGAUGCUGGAAAAGACAGAGAAGUUCUGGGCUAAAAAACGGAUCUGAAGUCAUGGAACGAGACCAGCUUCUGCCUGCCCAGAAGAGAGAGACAGGGCAGGUGGAAAGAUGCCCCUGGGUACGCUGGGCAGGAAGGAAUAUGUACCCCCACACUUCCCCAUUGUAUCUACGGCCCCUCCUCUCCAAGGUGCCCAUAAUGAAGGUGGUGAAGAAGAAAGUAAGUACGAGGCCAGCUAACACUAACCUGCACUUACCCACUUCACCUUCAGAGGAUGGUUUGCACGCUUACCCUUCCUACAGGUGAUGCGUCCCAGAGGAGAGACCAAGGCCCAAGAGGUCAGAGACAAAGCCUCCAGCCUGUGCCUCUCCCCACCUCCUCUCACAGAUGGCCUGGGGUUCAGGGCAGUCGGGAGUCCUAUAUGGCCAUCCAAUAGGACAAAGGAGAUCCAUUCUUAUGAUGGGGAAUGUCAAUUACACCAGGGAGUGUGAAAUGCCAGGUGCAAGGCAUCAUGAGCCACAAGUGCAGGGCCAAGUGAGGGAGGGAGCAGAUCACGCAUCACCCUAAUACUCUUCCGGGUGAACAAUCCCCAAGGGUUAACACAGUGGGGUGCGGGAUGGAAAUUUCAGGUGACUUUCACUUGAUUCUUGGAAAUCUUUGUUAAUUCCUCAUACUUCGAACUCUUAAACAGUGAGUAUAUGGUAUUGCUAUGUUAAUAUAAACACAAAACAACAAAGCUAUUUUCAUUUUGAGGAAAAACAAAAAAGGAAGAGAGAAAAGAGAAGGAAACCAGGACACGCAGUGUCAACAGAGACAGGCUCUUUGCCUGUCCAGAGCUCACUGAGGAAUAGCGGGUUUCCAAGAAGUCAGAGCAACUAAGGAACGAAACAAAUAUUCAUCAGCCAGUCUCCUUUCCUGUUGUCACUCAGCCACCAGAUGCCAAGUUGCCGACAAGAUUCUGGAGGCCAAGGGCGCCUGGGUGGCUCAUUUAGUUAAGUGUCUGACUCUUGAUUGUGGCUCAGGUCAUGAACUCACGGUACGUGGGAUCUAGCCCCAUGUCAGGUUCUGUGCUGACACAGAGUGGAGCCUUUCACUUUCUCUCUCCCUUUCUCAAAAUAAGUAAACUUAAAAAACUUGCUGGAGGACAAGCAGUGGCAGCACCACUGAAGAAGGCAGCCGGUAGCCUGUGGCGUGGUGGGGGACUGGGACCAGAAAGCAGAGGCUAGCGCUUUCCCCGGAGUCCAAAUGCCAGGAAACUCUCUGGGGAUGAUGCCAGCAACAUACAAGCAGUAAGGGGAAUCUUGGGGGUGAGACCCACGGUCUUCCCCAGCAGUGCCCAUUUACCCAGAGGAUUGCUCAGCUCCCACACCAGGUACCUUGGUGUUCCUGGAAAGAGCAACAUUCCACAAACGCUCUUGCCUGUCUGUCUGUGGCCCACAAAAACAGCCCCGGGGAGCAGGUGGCCCUAGGCUCUGCUGUGGGACAAAACCAGCAGGGACUAGAACGCAGACCGAGCUUCUCCACCACUGACAAACAUAAUCCCAACCCUUCGGCACCCAGACAACCCCGGCCCCCACCAACCUUGCCAGGGCCCCUCCUCCUGCCCUCACUGGUGCUCCAGCCCCACCAGCCUGCUCAGGGGUCCUGACUUCGAGCUCCAGUCUUCUCUUGCUUCAGGAUCUUUCUGUGACCUCUGGCAUUGAGCUCUUAAUUCAGUUAUUUCUAAUCUCUCUCCGUUUUAAAUAAACUCCUUUAAGGCUACA
Felis catus (domestic cat) is the source of this 2494-nucleotide long non-coding RNA. RefSeq lists it as uncharacterized. The record is from RefSeq and is a predicted model, not a curated record. The transcript has 2 exons. Lineage: Eukaryota; Metazoa; Chordata; Mammalia; Carnivora; Felidae.